UACGUAGGGUGCGAGCGUUAAUCGGAAUUACUGGGCGUAAAGCGUGCGCAGGCGGGUGUGCAAGACAGAGGGGAAAUCCCCGGGCUCAACCUGGGAACUGCAUUUGUGACUGCACGGCUGGAGUGCGGCAGAGGGGGAUGGAAUUCCGCGUGUAGCAGUGAAAUGCGUAGAUAUGCGGAGGAACACCGAUGGCGAAGGCAAUCCCCUGGGCCUGCACUGACGCUCAUGCACGAAAGCGUGGGGAGCAAACAGG
Molecule: ribosomal RNA, 253 nt
Filed under: uncultured bacterium
Lineage: Bacteria
Description: partial 16S ribosomal RNA
Rfam family: Bacterial small subunit ribosomal RNA
Source: RNAcentral